UGAACGCUGGCGGCGUGCCUAAUACAUGCAAGUCGAGCGAAUAGAUUAAGAGCUUGCUCUUAUGAAGUUAGCGGCGGACGGGUGAGUAACACGUGGGUAACCUGCCCAUAAGACUGGGAUAACUCCGGGAAACCGGGGCUAAUACCGGAUAACAUUUUGAACUGCAUGGUUCGAAAUUGAAAGGCGGCUUCGGCUGUCACUUAUGGAUGGACCCGCGUCGCAUUAGCUAGUUGGUGAGGUAACGGCUCACCAAGGCAACGAUGCGUAGCCGACCUGAGAGGGUGAUCGGCCACACUGGGACUGAGACACGGCCCAGACUCCUACGGGAGGCAGCAGUAGGGAAUCUUCCGCAAUGGACGAAAGUCUGACGGAGCAACGCCGCGUGAGUGAUGAAGGCUUUCGGGUCGUAAAACUCUGUUGUUAGGGAAGAACAAGUGCUAGUUGAAUAAGCUGGCACCUUGACGGUACCUAACCAGAAAGCCACGGCUAACUACGUGCCAGCAGCCGCGGUAAUACGUAGGUGGCAAGCGUUAUCCGGAAUUAUUGGGCGUAAAGCGCGCGCAGGUGGUUUCUUAAGUCUGAUGUGAAAGCCCACGGCUCAACCGUGGGAGGGUCAUUGGAAACUGGGAGACUUGAGUGCAGAAAGAGGAAAGUGGAAUUCCAUGUGUAGCGGUGAAAUGCGUAGAGAUAUGGAGGAACACCAGUGGCGAAGGCGACUUUCUGGUCUGUAACUGACACUGAGGCGCGAAAGCGUGGGGAGCAAACAGGAUUAGAUACCCCGGUAGUCCACGCCGUAAACGAUGAGUGCUAAGUGUUAGAGGGUUUCCGCCCUUUAGUGCUGAAGUAAAGCAUUAAGCACUCCGCCGGGGGAGUACGGC
RNAcentral lists this ribosomal RNA (878 nucleotides) under uncultured Bacillus sp. Its description in RNAcentral is "bacterial SSU rRNA". It matches the Rfam family "Bacterial small subunit ribosomal RNA", at positions 30 to 886 of the family's 1533-position model. The record is from RNAcentral. Lineage: Bacteria; Bacillati; Bacillota; Bacilli; Caryophanales; Bacillaceae.